Molecule: transfer RNA, 288 nt
Filed under: Nostoc sp. BTA12
Lineage: Bacteria; Bacillati; Cyanobacteriota; Cyanophyceae; Nostocales; Nostocaceae
Description: partial miscellaneous RNA
Rfam family: tRNA (bases 108-180)
Source: RNAcentral
UUUCUGGUUCGAGUCCAGGAUGGCCCACCUGAAAGUAAUGAGUAAUUGCUAAUUCGUAAUUCGUAAUUAACUACGAAUUAAGAAUUAAGAAUUACGAAUUAUAAUCUGGGGGUUUAGCUCAGUUGGUAGAGCGCCUGCUUUGCAAGCAGGAUGUCAGCGGUUCGAGUCCGCUAACCUCCACCUGUAGCGUCAAGCUAACAAAAAAAGUAUUAGGAAAAAGUCAGCAACUAAGAGAGUGAAACUCAUUAGACUGCUGGGUGAGACCUAGCCAGAACCUUGAAAACUGCA